UCAAAAAUAAACUACCAGGAUACAUAGAAAUUCCAUGCAGAUGAGUAAUUCCAUAAUACAGUUUCUUUUUUUGAAGAGUUGCAUAUCACAAUAAAAACAGAUACAAUGUUUAAUUGCCCGAGGACAAAACAGUAUAGUAAAGAACACAGAACAUACAAGGCAUGCAUACAUUAUUAAUUAAAAGAGAGGAUCGAUAAAUAAGGAUGAGUUAACCCAUAUCGAUAAAUAAAAUCUAUAGAUGAUUCCAUACAAUGUAGAACUGUUGUACUUGGCAAUGCACACUAGCUACUGAUGACUGGUUAUAUUGGUUCAUUGUCAUCAAAUUAAAAAAGAACUACCCUGAUCAAGCAUACAUAAGCAUAAAAAAGAUCAAACAAGCACAUUGUGCAUUUUCUUUUUAAAUGUGAUACACAAUAAGCAUAAGUAACCACUAGGAAAAUAACUUGCUAUCUACAUGCCCUAUUAUCAGCAACAAGAACAUUAGGCAAGGAAUAACAGAAUAUUUCCAAUGCAAUCUGUCUCCAUCCCCAGCACUGCGGCAACAGUCUCCAGCAUCAUUGCGCGGCAGCCAUACCUCCUCUGCAACCCAAUUUGAAGGGUCAGCUUCAGAACAUGAUAAACUUCGAAGUACAAUACAGGAGACCAAGAUGAUAAACUGGUGCAAAAAUCAUGAUAAACAGGUACCCCUCUCUGUCUGAACCCUUUUCUUGCACAUAUGGAUGUGCUAACAAUACAACUAGCAUUAAAGCUGAAUAUAUGUCCAUGUUUCCUAGCAAACAAAAAUCUUGUACAAACUAGCAUUGAAGCUGAAUAUAUUCCCAUAACAACUAGCAGCACCAGCUUAUGAAACCACAUAUAUAUUCCCAUCUAAUUUAUUCCAAUGGAUGUUAAAUUAAGAGAUGUAUUGCAAAUGUCUGAAGCAAUGUUAUGCGCUAUAUCCAUCUCAUUAUCUGAAGGCAGGCAAACUAAGAUUUCACCCAACCUACAACAGUUGCUGCCACAACCAAACAACAUAGUAGUUCUACCUGCAGUAGCUGGAGGCAAUUGUCUCACCUGCGGUAGCUGUCCAGGAGCAAGUUGAGGACGGCCGGGGCAGGAGCAGCAGGAUGCAGCUUGGGGACUUGGUCGGGUAACACAACCGGCAGCAGCAGCAGGUCCAGCACGUCCUACACUAGAAGCAACUCCCAUGGCCUUGAAUUACUUUCCUUGACACAAUACGAGCACACAUCAAUUGGAGAUGAUGAGAAGUUGUAGAAGAAGGAG
This 1263-nucleotide long non-coding RNA is filed under the name Triticum aestivum (bread wheat). Its description in RNAcentral is "long non-coding RNA (TAES_LNC019501)". Lineage: Eukaryota; Viridiplantae; Streptophyta; Magnoliopsida; Poales; Poaceae. The record is from RNAcentral.